AUGUUAUAUGCAAUCAACACUGCUACACAAAUGGGAUGUAAUCGUGUGAUAUUUGAAACAGACUCCGUGGUGUUGAAGCAGGCAAUCUCAAGCGAGGAGUAUGACUUGUCGACUUUAGGUGCCGUGUUUCAGGAAAUAAAAUUUCUGUUGAAUGUGGCUUUUGAUGAUGUAAAUGUUAGUGUUUGUCCAAGAUCUUGUAAUAUAGCAGCUCACAGCCUAGCAGCACAUGGUGUAAGAUUAGGAGAUGGGGAAUAUGAAACUUGGCUAGGCUAUUUCCCUGAGUUUGUUGUAAACUCUGUAGCUGGUGAUUCGGCCAGUCUAAAUUUGUAA
RNAcentral lists this ribosomal RNA (330 nucleotides) under Triticum aestivum (bread wheat). Its description in RNAcentral is "partial small subunit ribosomal RNA". The record is from RNAcentral. Lineage: Eukaryota; Viridiplantae; Streptophyta; Magnoliopsida; Poales; Poaceae.